UGGAAAGUAAUGAUUGCCCUUCGAUGGUGCACGAUCAUAAAAUUAUAGUUUCGAUUCAGUGUCAGAAUGAAAGUUUUGGUGCUUGAAUUAUGAUUGUUUCUGGGAAAAACCAAUGCAUGUUGUCUCCCACGUUAUGUAAAGAUUGAUGCACAGUUAGCUAUGAAAUUUUAAGCCAGCCUAUUCUCAUAAGUUAUGUUGUGUGCUGAGAACCAUUUUUUGCAAACAGAAAUGCUGGUUCUGAAGUGAGUA
RNAcentral lists this unclassified non-coding RNA (249 nucleotides) under Hevea brasiliensis (rubber tree). Lineage: Eukaryota; Viridiplantae; Streptophyta; Magnoliopsida; Malpighiales; Euphorbiaceae. The record is from RNAcentral.